Molecule: ribosomal RNA, 508 nt
Filed under: uncultured bacterium
Lineage: Bacteria
Description: partial 16S ribosomal RNA
Rfam family: Bacterial small subunit ribosomal RNA
Source: RNAcentral
GAUGAACGCUAGCUACAGGCUUAACACAUGCAAGUCGAGGGGAAACGAUAGAGAAAGCUUGCUUUUUCUAGGCGUCGACCGGCGCACGGGUGAGUAACGCGUAUCCAACCUGCCCAUCACUUGGGGAUAACCUUGCGAAAGUAAGACUAAUACCCAAUGACGACCAUAGAAGACAUCUGAAAUGGAUUAAAGAAUUAUCGGUGAAGGAUGGGGAUGCGUCUGAUUAGCUUGUUGGCGGGGUAACGGACCGCCAAGGCGGCGAUAAGUAGGGGGUCUGAUAGGAAGGUACCCCACAUUGAAAGUGAUGCACGUUCCAAACUCCUACGGGAGGCAGGAGUUAGUAAUAUUGGUCAAUGGACUAGAGUCUGAACCAGCCAAGUAGCGUGCAGGAUGACGGCCCUAUGGUUUGUAAACUGCUUUUAUGAGGGAAUAAGGUGGGAUUCGUGACUCCUUUUGCAUGUACCUUAUGAAUAAGGACCGGCUAAUUCCGUGCCAGCCGCCGCCGUAA